RNAcentral lists this long non-coding RNA (1123 nucleotides) under Homo sapiens (human). RNAcentral describes it as "long non-coding RNA NONHSAT175446.1". The record is from RNAcentral. Lineage: Eukaryota; Metazoa; Chordata; Mammalia; Primates; Hominidae.
UCUCUUCUCUGGUGCUUGUCAAAAGUAUUUCUCCCAGCUAAUCUCAUUCCCAGUUGCCAAAGAAAAGAUCUCAAGCAUAACUCCUCAUCUCCAGGUCACCCGACAAGGUACCUUUGACAGGAGCGUGACCCUGCUGGAGGUGUGCGGGAGCUGGCCUGAGGGCUUCGGGCUGCGGCACAUGUCCUCCAUGGAGCACACGGAGGAGGGCCUCCGGGAGCGACUUGCCGACGCCAUGGCCGAGUCACCUAGCCGGGACGUCGUGGGAUCCGGAACAGAACUUCAGCGAGAGGGAAGCAUCGAGACUCUGAGUAACAGCUCAGGCUCCACCAGCGGCAGCAUACCAAGAAACUUUGAUGGCUACCGAUCUCCGCUGCCCACCAAUGAGAGCCAGCCCCUCAGCCUCUUCCCGACUGGCUUCCCGUAGGUACCAGCAACCUGCUUCUGACUGGCCAGCCCCCUCCCCUGCUGGAGGAGGGGAGAAGCCCCGCUCUGGUCCUACCCUUCAGUCUCUGCUCUUCCUUCAUCAACCACCUUCCCCAAGCUUAGUGACAGCAGCCGCCCAUCCUACCUGGAUGGAGAAGAGACCCUUCUCCAAGCACCUCAGCGCACUUGCCCUCUGCCACACCUGUCGGUGGAGGCUGUGGCCAGGAGAGACUGUAGAAGCUCGGUCCCUGUGUAUGUUUGCAUAUGACAUCCUGCAUUGGAUCCGCUUUUGUAUUUUUUAACCAUACCCACGGUGGGGCGGGUGGGGGGAGCCUGGAACAGUGACCAGAUCUGGGGGCCUGAGUGGGGACAGAGUUGAUCGUCCACCUGGCCAUUUUGACCCUGAGUGGACAGUCACAGCCUCAGCUCAUGUCUGGCUGUGACACACACUGCCCCCAGCUUCCCUUGGUCAGCCCCACUCCAGCACGGGGUGAACGGAGGCCCAGAGUACUAGGGAAGGAGGAAGGGAGGACAUGCCUCUUCUUCCUCCUUUCUUUCCCCAUCUGUUCAUGGGAAGAGUUUGUCUUUCUUAUCUUUAAGCCCCUUUACCCUGGUCCUGUACUGAUCAGUGAAGGAAACCGUGGUUACUGAGGCCCUGUUGAAAAGUGCACGUCUUGUCCAAUAAAUCACGCUGCAGUUG